UCUUUUAGUUUCCGGUGUCUCUGCAAUGGCGGCUCUAGACUCCCUGUCGCUCUUCACUAGCCUCGGCCUGAGCGAGCAGAAGGCCCGUGAGACGCUCAAGAACUCGGCUCUGAGCGCGCAGCUGCGCGAGGCCGCUACUCAGGCUCAGCAGACCCUGGGUUCCACCAUUGACAAAGCUACCGGGAUCCUGUUAUAUGGCUUGGCCUCCCGACUCAGGGAUACCCGGCGUCUCUCCUUCCUUGUAAGCUACAUAGCCAGUAAGAAGAUCCACACUGAGCCCCAGCUAAGCGCUGCCCUUGAGUAUGUGCGGAGUCACCCCUUGGACCCCAUCGACACUGUGGACUUCGAGCGGGAAUGUGGCGUGGGUGUCAUUGUGACCCCAGAGCAGAUUGAGGAGGCUGUGGAGGCUGCUAUUAACAGGCACCGGCCCCAGCUCCUGGUGGAACGUUACCAUUUCAACAUGGGGCUGCUGAUGGGAGAGGCUCGGGCUGUGCUGAAGUGGGCAGAUGGCAAAAUGAUCAAGAAUGAAGUGGACAUGCAGGUGAGCGUGCUU
Molecule: small RNA, 553 nt
Filed under: Pan troglodytes (chimpanzee)
Lineage: Eukaryota; Metazoa; Chordata; Mammalia; Primates; Hominidae
Description: retained intron
Source: RNAcentral